Molecule: long non-coding RNA, 1029 nt
Filed under: Triticum aestivum (bread wheat)
Lineage: Eukaryota; Viridiplantae; Streptophyta; Magnoliopsida; Poales; Poaceae
Description: long non-coding RNA (TAES_LNC026384)
Source: RNAcentral
UUCGGUUGUGAGGGUGUCCAGGGGUCGUGGGUGCGGCUAAUGCCUAUGUAUGUGGCCGCACUUGACACUGCCCUCUCUUUAAGGGCACAUAUCAUUUUUUAUAACUCUGCUAUCUUUUCCCAAGUCUUUAUUAUCUUGCCUAGCCUUGUAUUGAUAUGUAUUGUUUGAUGCUAAUUACCCAAGUUAGUGCAUGAUGUUAAGGAUAACCUGAGAACACUUUCCUAAGUUUAUAAGUUAUGACAUGUGACAGUUCAAACCUGAUUUGAUGCUGUACUGUGCUUCUCUAGUUGUUUGAAUGCUUCUGCUGCUAGCCUGCUAGACUGCUACUAGCUUGAAUAGGUGUGCACUUGUGCUGGUGGUGGUGCUGCUUGUGUUGCUGCUGCUAAUUUAAUGCUUAUACUCACGCCGUUGUUGAUUAAAUUCUUAUGUUGUUGUUGCAUGCUCAUUUUAUUGAUUCAAUGCUUUAGAAAUUAAUUGAAAUGAACCUGAUUCAAUGCUAACGAUUUCUCCAACUUGCCAAAAUUGUCAUAAUUGUCUCCUGCCUUGUGAUGUUAGUCUCUGUGCACUUACUACUAUUGUUAGUUGAAUGGAUGGUCGUGGUAGUAGAAUAGGAAUUUUCUUUAGGUUAGCGUUAUAGUGAUGUUCAUUUCAUUACCUAAACUUUGUACCAAUGUACCAUGCAGGUAUGUAUAGAUUAUUAUUGUAGAACAACAUCAGGUUAAUCUGUUGCAUUCAAGUUGUUGGAAGUUUUGUUAUGCCAUGCUUAGUGUUUACUGAAUUGGGGCAUUUGGGCAUGUAUGUAUAAAUUUUAGCCUCUUGAGAGAAUAUUAUUUACUUCCAGUGUAUUUCACUAAUAACUUAUCUGGAUCAGGAUCUAAUGUUGUCGAGGUUGCUGCUGCUGUGACAGAAGAUCAGAAGAAGCUUGGAGAUGCGCGCCAUAGUUUUAGUUGAUGUUGCCACCAAGUUUUGGUGCUUGUGUAUCUGUUUUUGAUUGUAUGUGCACUUGUUGGAUGUGCAAACGUGUAUGUG